UGGCUGCUGUCGUCCUUCCUACU
Molecule: microRNA, 23 nt
Filed under: Bos taurus (domestic cattle)
Lineage: Eukaryota; Metazoa; Chordata; Mammalia; Artiodactyla; Bovidae
Description: bta-miR-12050
Source: miRBase by way of RNAcentral